RNAcentral lists this long non-coding RNA (1346 nucleotides) under Olea europaea subsp. europaea. The record is from RNAcentral. Lineage: Eukaryota; Viridiplantae; Streptophyta; Magnoliopsida; Lamiales; Oleaceae.
AUUUAAUGCUUCAUGAAGAAUAUUUUUCCAUCAUACACCUUAAAUGUGAUUCCCUUAGAUGCUAACUAUCAAGACAGAUAGUUCAAAUAUCAAUUUCAACAUUCCUUAAUUAUUAUGAUAGACAUUGUAACUUGUGGAAAUUACACCUCAUCCUAUAUUUGAAUGUUAAUAUUCUAAGAUAAGGUAGGAGGUUUCACUUUUCAAAAAUUAGAUAUUUUACUUUAAUUAAUAUUUUUACUAAAUAUAUAAUACACACAUCACAAACCUUAAUUCUCUCUAUUUACAUUUCCACAUUCUCUUUCCCUACACCACCCAUCAGCUUCCUCUAUUCUUUCUCUCUACACCACCCAUUGGCUUUCUCUACACAGAAUUGCUACACGACGCAGCAACCACUGUCCAAAUCGUUCACAUGAUCGUUGCACGGCACAGCAGUGGUGCGAAAUAAUUGCAUAGCGAUGAUGCCAAAGCAGUGAUGCAAUGACGAUGUCGUGAAAAUGGUGGCAGUGUGGCUUAGCAACCACCAUCCAAAACGAGCAACCCAAUCGCUACAUGGCGUAGCAGUGGUGAUGGCAUCACCAGCAGAUCGCCGUUGUUAGAAAUAACGGCAUAGUGACGAUGCCGGAGCAGUGGUGCAGCGACGAAGCGAUGAAAAUGGAGGAAAAUAGUUGUUUAUUACUUGUUGUUUCAUAGAUGAGAUCGUGGUGGUUGUUGUUGGCUUCCGUACUUGUGGUUUUUGAGGCCGUGGCGGUUUGUUACUAAUAGGUCUUUGAAGUAGUGGUUGAGGGGUGCUAGCGGUUUUGAUUUGAUUAGUUGUUUGUGUUUUGGUGGUAGAUCCGGUGACUGCGGUGUGGCGAUGAGUUGCAAUGCGGUGGUGGUAUAGGUGGUUAAUGCGGUGAGGCAUCGGUGUUGGUGGUUGGAAUGGUGGUGAUAGUAGCUUUCGUAUUUCUACGGUGGUGGGACAGUCGGCGAUGGUGGUCGUGGCAAUGGUUGCGAUGGCGAUGGUGAGAUGUUGGUGGCGAUAGGUCUGUUGGGGUGGUAGUGGAUUUGACGUGAUGACGUUGUGGUAUUUUUCUACGAUGUGUUGAUUUGUUUAAGGUGUUGGUGUUAGUGUUGCUGUCUGGAAGUGGUGAUAGUAGUUCUGGCGACAACGAUAGUGAAGGUGUUGAUUUUAUGUUAGUCUUGUUGAAAGCGAUAAUCCAACGAUCCAAACAAUGAGGGAUACCGAUUUCCUAGAUCUUUUGUUUGUUGAUGAAAGAUUUAACCUUAGUUUUGUUGUACACUUACAUUAGUUGUUGGUCAUUUGUAGUUAUAAUAAAUUAAUGUGUAUGAAUCACCCAGCUCAUUGG